ACUCAAAGGAAUAGACGGGGGCCCGCACAAGCGGUGGAGCAUGUGGUUCAAUUCGAAGCAACGCGAAGAACCUUACCUGGGUUCGAAAUGCAGCUGUAAGCGUCAGAGAUGAUGUCCCCUCUUCGGAGGCAGCUGUAUAGGUGCUGCAUGGCUGUCGUCAGCUCGUGUCGUGAGAUGUUGGGUUAAGUCCCGCAACGAGCGCAACCCUUGUCCAUAGUUGCUAACGCGUAGUGGCGAGAACUCUAUGGAGACUGCCGGUGAUAAACCGGAGGAAGGUGGGGAUGACGUCAAGUCCUCAUGGCCUUUAUGUCCAGGGCUACACACGUGCUACAAUGGACGGUACAAAGAGUCGCGAUCCCGUGAGGGGGAGCUAAUCUCAAAAAGCCGUUCUCAGUUCGGAUUGUUCUCUGCAACUCGAGAGCAUGAAGCUGGAAUCGCUAGUAAUCGCGGAUCAGCACGCCGCGGUGAAUACGUUCCCGGGCCUUGCACACACCGCCGU
Molecule: ribosomal RNA, 499 nt
Filed under: uncultured bacterium
Lineage: Bacteria
Description: partial 16S ribosomal RNA
Rfam family: Bacterial small subunit ribosomal RNA
Source: RNAcentral